RNAcentral lists this ribosomal RNA (439 nucleotides) under uncultured fungus. RNAcentral describes it as "eukaryotic LSU rRNA". The stretch from base 126 to 279 matches the Rfam family "5.8S ribosomal RNA". The record is from RNAcentral. Lineage: Eukaryota; Fungi.
CUGUGUAUCAAAUCUUUGUUGCUUCCCGCAUGGUGUGGCCUGCAAAGGCUACCCUGUGGGAAGGAUAUGAUAAACUCUUGUUGUUGUGUCAUUAGUCUGGGUGGUAAACACAUGAAACAAGUUAAAACUUUCAACAACGGAUCUCUUGGUUCUCGCAUCGAUGAAGAACGCAGCGAAAUGCGAUAAGUAGUGUGAAUUGCAGAAUUCAGUGAAUCAUCGAAUCUUUGAACGCACAUUGCGCCUUCUGGUAUUCCGGGAGGCAUGCCUGUUCGAGCGUCAUCAAACACAUCCUCAAGCACUUUUGCUUGGUAUUGGUGGCAGAUGUCCGCAUCUCCUCUUAAAUUCCUCAGCGGAAACUACUGCGGUCUCAGGUGUCAUAAGAUUACCUUUCGCUUGAUAACUGCCGGUAGGUUCUUGCUGUGAAGAGCCCCCCAGCUAU